CCGAAAGGCGAGUUCCCUGAGUGGGAGUU
This 29-nucleotide small RNA is filed under the name Bombyx mori (domestic silkworm). Its description in RNAcentral is "ovarian small RNA-13756". The record is from RNAcentral. Lineage: Eukaryota; Metazoa; Arthropoda; Insecta; Lepidoptera; Bombycidae.